This 767-nucleotide long non-coding RNA is filed under the name Homo sapiens (human). RNAcentral describes it as "HSALNT0318158". Lineage: Eukaryota; Metazoa; Chordata; Mammalia; Primates; Hominidae. The record is from RNAcentral.
CGCCACCCGUCUGGGGCCCGAAAGGAGGGAGCUUUCCCUCUGUCCCCCAGCCUUUGGACUGUCACCAAACAAGCCAUUCGUUCACCAAAUACUUUUUAAGCGCCUACCAUGUGCCUGACAAGGGAUAUGUAACGGUGAGAAAAACUAGGUGUGGUCCAGGCCCUUCAGGGACUCAGGGGCUCGUGGAAGAAGUGGAUAUUGAAGUACUUAUCACACAAAGGAGGAUAAAAGUACGAUAGCGAUAUCUACCACGAAGCUGUUGUUCCACACCAGAACCAAAUGAGCGCAAGAUCUGACAAAAAAAAAAGGUUCAUCUUUUAUUCUUCCAAACACUUUCAUUUAAAUCAAGAGGAUGGGAUGUGGUUAUUACUGUGUUUUUAGACAAAAUCAAUGGUUUCUGGCUCUGAGAUGUUGCAUACACCCUCUCAGUCCCUGUAUCCUGAGAUGGAGUCACCUGAGAAUCCACAGCAAGUCCUAACCAGGGAUGGGUCUGGGUGAUUAAGGAAGAUUGGCUUCAGAACUGGGCCAGGGGCACUGCUUUGCUUUUGCUGUUUUGAUCAGCUCUCUGCCUGCAGGAGACGAGGAAAACCAAUGGGAACAGAAAUUGCCUGUCUGCUCCGCUCUGGUUGAAGAAACCAGUCCGACUGUCUCUGAGGCUAUGGAGCAGUCCAUGAAGAAUGAAAGCCCUCUGCCAGGCAUGUUGGCUCACACCUGUAAUACCAGCACUUUGGGAGGCCGAGGCAGGUGGAUCACUUGAAGUCAGGAGU